RNAcentral lists this ribosomal RNA (460 nucleotides) under uncultured bacterium. RNAcentral's name for it is "partial 16S ribosomal RNA". It matches the Rfam family "Bacterial small subunit ribosomal RNA", at positions 338 to 795 of the family's 1533-position model. The record is from RNAcentral.
CCUACGGGGGGCUGCAGUGAGGAAUAUUGGUCAAUGGGCGCGAGCCUGAACCAGCCAAGUCGCGUGAGGGAUGACGGUCCUACGGAUUGUAAACCUCUUUUGCCGGGGAGCAAGCGUGCGUUCGUGAACGCGCGUCGAGAGUACCCGAAGAAAAAGCAUCGGCUAACUCCGUGCCAGCAGCCGCGGUAAUACGGAGGAUGCGAGCGUUAUCCGGAUUUAUUGGGUUUAAAGGGUGCGUAGGCGGACUGGAAAGUCAGCGGUAAAAUCGAGAGGCUCAACCUCUUUCCGCCGUUGAAACUGUCGGUCUUGAGUGGGCGAGAAGUAUGCGGAAUGCGUGGUGUAGCGGUGAAAUGCAUAGAUAUCACGCAGAACUCCGAUUGCGAAGGCAGCAUACCGGCGCCCGACUGACGCUGAGGCACGAAAGCGUGGGUAUCGAACAGGAUUAGAUACCCUUGUAGUC